RNAcentral lists this ribosomal RNA (492 nucleotides) under uncultured bacterium. RNAcentral describes it as "partial 16S ribosomal RNA". It matches the Rfam family "Bacterial small subunit ribosomal RNA", at positions 29 to 507 of the family's 1533-position model. The record is from RNAcentral.
AGUGAACGCUGGCGGUAGGCCCAACACAUGCAAGUCGAACGGCAGCACAGUAAGAGCUUGCUCUUACGGGUGGCGAGUGGCGGACGGGUGAGGAAUACAUCGGAAUCUACUUUUUCGUGGGGGAUAACGUAGGGAAACUUACGCUAAUACCGCAUACGACCUACGGGUGAAAGCAGGGGAUCUUCGGACCUUGCGCGAUUGAAUGAGCCGAUGUCGGAUUAGCUAGUUGGCGGGGUAAAGGCCCACCAAGGCGACGACCCGUAGCUGGUCUGAGAGGAUGAUCAGCCACACUGGAACUGAGACACGGUCCAGACUCCUACGGGAGGCAGCAGUGGGGAAUAUUGGACAAUGGGCGCAAGCCUGAUCCAGCCAUACCGCGUGGGUGAAGAAGGCCUUCGGGUUGUAAAGCCCUUUUGUUGGGAAAGAAAAGCAGCAGGUUAAUACCCCGCUGUUCUGACGGUACCCAAAGAAUAAGCACCGGCUAACUUCGUG